RNAcentral lists this transfer RNA (87 nucleotides) under Patescibacteria group bacterium. Its description in RNAcentral is "tRNA-Leu". It matches the Rfam family "tRNA". Rfam says of the family: Transfer RNA (tRNA) molecules are approximately 80 nucleotides in length. Their secondary structure includes four short double-helical elements and three loops (D, anti-codon, and T loops). Further hydrogen bonds mediate the characteristic L-shaped molecular structure. tRNAs have two regions of fundamental functional importance: the anti-codon, which is responsible for specific mRNA codon recognition, and the 3' end, to which the tRNAs corresponding amino acid is attached (by aminoacyl-tRNA synthetases). tRNAs cope with the degeneracy of the genetic code in two manners: having more than one tRNA (with a specific anti-codon) for a particular amino acid; and 'wobble' base-pairing, i.e. permitting non-standard base-pairing at the 3rd anti-codon position. The record is from RNAcentral. RNAcentral also lists the same sequence under 1 other name.
GCCCAGGUGCUGGAAUUGGUAGACAGUGCAGCCUUAAGAGCUGUUGUCCGCAAGGACGUGAGGGUUCGAGUCCCUCCCUGGGCACCA